CUGGAUUUCUGGAUGCGGCUGUUUUCAAAGCGCAGGGUAUUUUCAGCAGGAUCUCACCAUAGUGGGCCCCACCAUGCCCAGGCUGAGAGCUCUGCCUGCUCUGUUAGUGAGGAGGCUGGAGUGCAGUGGCGCCAUCAUAGCUCACUGCAGCCUCCACACCCCCCACCCUCCUCACCCUCACUAGUAGUUGGGACUACCUACAGGCGUUGCAUCACCAUGCCCGGCUAAUUUUUUUUUAAACUUGUUUUGGAGGCGGGGUCUCACUGUGUUUCUCAGGCUGAUCUUGAACUUUUGCACUCAAGUGAUCCUAACACUUCGGCCUCCCAAAGUGCUGGGAUUAUAGGCGUGAGCCAUGUGCAGGACCUGGACCAAGUCUUGAUUCUCUCUGGUUCCUCCCAACUGAAACAUCAGGAUGCCGCCCCGGGUGUCCAUGGGGCUGGGGAAGUUGCUGAGCAACCUUGCCCUGCGAGAGCGAAGGCGGGCGUGUCCCUCGGGGGCGUACCCCGAGUGGGCAGCAGGGCCAGCCCGCGCGUCCCUCAGGGUCAAUGCUGGGGCCCUGAGGGUGAGGUCAGCUGUGAGGUGAGGUCUGGUGGCCGAGGGGAGGUGCCCAGCGUGCGCGUCCGCAUCCGGCGGGCGACAGAGCAGCCCCGGAACAGGAGCUUCCCG
This 666-nucleotide long non-coding RNA is filed under the name Homo sapiens (human). Its description in RNAcentral is "HSALNT0198117". Lineage: Eukaryota; Metazoa; Chordata; Mammalia; Primates; Hominidae. The record is from RNAcentral.